RNAcentral lists this small RNA (1156 nucleotides) under Pan troglodytes (chimpanzee). Its description in RNAcentral is "retained intron". The record is from RNAcentral. Lineage: Eukaryota; Metazoa; Chordata; Mammalia; Primates; Hominidae.
UCCUCAACCUCAGGUGGAGCCGCCACCAAAAUGCAGAUUUUCGUGAAAACCCUUACGGGGAAGACCAUCACCCUCGAGGUUGAACCCUCGGAUACGAUAGAAAAUGUAAAGGCCAAGAUCCAGGAUAAGGAAGGAAUUCCUCCUGAUCAGCAGAGACUGAUCUUUGCUGGCAAGCAGCUGGAAGAUGGACGUACUUUGUCUGACUACAAUAUUCAAAAGGUCUGUCUAGGGGAAGAGCAGCCUCUUUAAAAAAAAUGUUAGUUUGGAAAUUUUUUAUUUUACUUUUUUUGAGACAGGCUCUGACUCUGUCACCUAGGGUGGAGUGAGUGGCGCAGUCACUGCAACCUCCACCUCUCAGACUCAGGUGGUCCUCCCACCUCAGCCUCCUGUAGUUGGAACUAUAGGCACCCGCCACCAUGCCCAGGCUGGUCUCAAACUUCUGGGCUUAAGUGAUCUUCCCACCGUGGCCUCCCAGCGCUGGGAUUACAGACGUGAGCCACUCCAUGUGGUGUAUUCUGGACAUUUUGACACACAAAAAGGGAGAAUGGCAUUCGAUUAGCAGUAGAUUUUUAGGUAACUCCUAUACUGAUACUUGAGAAGCACUGCUAUAGUUCUCCCAUUAUGAAUUUUGCAAGUUGCAUCCCAUGGUGUAAUGUAAUGCAUUCUUUAAUGUCCCUAUAAACUGUUAGUUAAGAAUCAGAUACUUUAUUGGGUUUGGGGGCUGCAAGAUUCCCUCAAAUGUUAUUGUGUACUGCUACUGCUUUUAAUUAGAAAAUGCAUAAUGUUGGGUGUGCCCAUUCUUAGUGGAAUCAUGAAAGCUUGCUUCAUUCUUCCAUUAACAGGAGUCUACUCUUCAUCUUGUGUUGAGACUUCGUGGUGGUGCUAAGAAAAGGAAGAAGAAGUCUUACACCACUCCCAAGAAGAAUAAGCACAAGAGAAAGAAGGUUAAGCUGGCUGUCCUGAAAUAUUAUAAGGUGGAUGAGAAUGGCAAAAUUAGUCGCCUUCGUCGAGAGUGCCCUUCUGAUGAAUGUGGUGCUGGGGUGUUUAUGGCAAGCCACUUUGACAGACAUUAUUGUGGCAAAUGUUGUCUGACUUACUGUUUCAACAAACCAGAAGACAAGUAACUGUAUGAGUUAAUAAAAGACAUGAACUAACA